CUUUGUUCUCUCACAGAACGCAAGUAUAGAACCUUGACAGAAUAUGUGGCACAGCUAUUUGAGGACUCUGAAAUGUAGACAGAAACAAACAGGCAACCCUGCAGUGGUAGUAGUGGUGACAGCAGCAGCGGCAAUGAUGGAAGCCUGCAGGAGCCAAGAGUGUAAGAAAUGGAAACCGCUUUCUCUAUUUUCUCUGGAGCUAUAGAUUCAGACGGUUAUCUUAACAGUCUGCAACAAUAUACUGAGAGAAGCACUAACGAAACUGCAUUUCUCUGUCAUGCUGUGCCAGCUGUAGUAUGUGGGAAACCUUGUCUCUCCCAAGUACCUUCUGUCUCUGGCAGCUCCAUGUAAACUUCAGGAAUGAAAGAAGUUGGAAGAGGAAACAUUAGGAAUUUCCUUUCAAACUCCAAUCAAAACAGCCCAUUUGAAUAUUUUUUUAAAAAAAUUCCAAAAAUUCUUCCUGUGAGGAUGCAUUGGCUAAAGCAGGUCAAAGUUGCUGAAGAGGACUAAGCGAGCCUCUUGGGGAAGAUGAUAUCAUCUGAUCUGUACACAUGUCACAUUCAGAACAUUCUGCAUGGCUGCUGCUGAGCUCCCAUCUGUCAGAUCUCAACAGAGAGAACAAAGACUAGAGAUGUGAGUAAUUCAAGAAACAUCCAUUUACUAGCUGAAAAAACAAAUAAAAUUAGGAGGAGCCACUUUCUUCUUGUUACAUGUUACUGAUACGUGUUCUACCUGGCCAUACCACACAUUACAUAAAAUGUAUUCAACUACUUUACUGUCA
RNAcentral lists this long non-coding RNA (781 nucleotides) under Homo sapiens (human). RNAcentral describes it as "HSALNT0307757". Lineage: Eukaryota; Metazoa; Chordata; Mammalia; Primates; Hominidae. The record is from RNAcentral.